CAUGGGAGGUGGGUCACUUGUAUUAAGCUGUUGGUGAUGGAGUGGUAUUUCGGGCAACCUGGAGAACUCUGAAAGGAUCCUGGAUGUGUACAGGGGAGUUUUUCAAUCCUUUGAUUGUUUUUCUAGUUUUGUUGGAUUCUUCUGUGAAUGAUUGUGUUGAUGUAUAGGGGCCCUGCUUUUAUUUUUGUUCCUAGUUUCCUCUGUGGGUGUGUGGCUAAGGUUGUGCUAACCUUACUGCUGGUUGGGGAGUGUAAUGUGUUGUUUUUG
RNAcentral lists this long non-coding RNA (267 nucleotides) under Theobroma cacao (cacao). Its description in RNAcentral is "long non-coding RNA (TCAC_LNC002176)". Lineage: Eukaryota; Viridiplantae; Streptophyta; Magnoliopsida; Malvales; Malvaceae. The record is from RNAcentral.